CCAUCAGGACCAAAACCUCUCUCUACCUCAACAAGGCCCGCCCCCCCCCCACUGACACUUUACCUCAGCCACAACGCAGACUCUAUGCAUUACAUAAUGGAGAUCACAGGAUGGUUGCACUGCCACGUCUACAGUAGUGCAGAAUGGACAGAGGAAACGUGAUUGGGCCUCAUGUUUUUUGCAGACAACAUACAUUAUCCUACAAACUUGGGAUAGGAGGGUGAGUGAACAAGUUAUCCAUUGGUUGGAACCUACAUCCCCAAUGUUAGACGUACUAAAUCCUGCACACUGCUCCUUCAAAUGGACAAUCUGAACAUAUGUCGCCAUUUUCUAAAUCUUGUUAUUUUCCGUUGAGAAUGUUUCAAAGUAAUCUUAAAAAAAUUCUACUUACUUUUUGUUUCUACUGUUUAUAAGUAUGAUGUUUAAAUAUGAAAUGCUGUAUUCAUUAGUUGUACUAUAAUUCUACAAAUAUUUUUAUAUAUAUAUAUAUAUAUGUUGUUGCUAUGUACCUGUAAAGGUAUUAACAUCUGAUCUGAGGGGAAUUUCUCGUGGUUUAUUUUUAACUUGUGAUUGGAAAGCACUUUGAGCUACACGUGCUUUAUGAAAAGGGAUUUAUAAAUAAAGCUUUAUUAUAUAUUGCAA
This is a long non-coding RNA of Gymnodraco acuticeps, 642 nucleotides long. RefSeq lists it as uncharacterized. The transcript has 2 exons. The record is from RefSeq and is a predicted model, not a curated record. Lineage: Eukaryota; Metazoa; Chordata; Actinopteri; Perciformes; Bathydraconidae.